CCUACGGGAGGCAGCAGUGGGGGAUAUUGGACAAUGGGGGGAACCCUGAUCCAGCGACGCCGCGUGAGUGAAGAAGUAUCUCGGUAUGUAAAGCUCUAUCAGCAGGGAAGAAGAAAUGACGGUACCUGAGUAAGAAGCCCCGGCUAACUACGUGCCAGCAGCCCCGGGAAUACGUAGGGGGCAAGCGUUAUCCGGAAUUACUGGGUGGAAAGGGAGCGUAGACGGUGAUGUAAGUCUGGAGGGAAAGGCGGGGGCCCAACCCCCGGACCGCUCUGGAAACUAUGUGACUGGAGUGCAGGAGAGGUGAGCGGAAUUCCAUGUGUAGCGGUGAAAUGCGUAGAUAUUAGGAGGAACACCAGUGGCGAAGGCGGCUCACUGGCCUGUAACUGACGUUGAGGCUCGAAAGCGUGGGGAGCAAACAGGAUUAGAUACCCCAGUAGUC
RNAcentral lists this ribosomal RNA (442 nucleotides) under uncultured bacterium. RNAcentral describes it as "partial 16S ribosomal RNA". It matches the Rfam family "Bacterial small subunit ribosomal RNA", at positions 338 to 795 of the family's 1533-position model. The record is from RNAcentral.